Molecule: transfer RNA, 74 nt
Filed under: Agrostis tolucensis
Lineage: Eukaryota; Viridiplantae; Streptophyta; Magnoliopsida; Poales; Poaceae
Description: partial tRNA-Leu
Rfam family: tRNA
About the family: Transfer RNA (tRNA) molecules are approximately 80 nucleotides in length.
Source: RNAcentral
GAAAUCGGUAGACGCUACGGACUUAAAAUCCGUCGACUUUAGAAGUCGUGAGGGUUCAAGUCCCUCUAUCCCCA